UCUCAGUGAUGUCAAUAACUGAUGACGAGUCUGAUAAUAUCCAUUCUAAACCGUGAUGUGAAUGAGGCAUUUGUCUGAGAGGA
Telopea speciosissima is the source of this 83-nucleotide small nucleolar RNA. NCBI's taxonomy places the organism in Eukaryota, Viridiplantae, Streptophyta, Magnoliopsida, Proteales, Proteaceae. The record is from RefSeq and is a predicted model, not a curated record.